This 447-nucleotide ribosomal RNA is filed under the name uncultured bacterium. Its description in RNAcentral is "bacterial SSU rRNA". It matches the Rfam family "Bacterial small subunit ribosomal RNA", at positions 355 to 825 of the family's 1533-position model. The record is from RNAcentral.
UCGGGAAUUUUGGGCAAUGGGCGAAAGCCUGACCCAGCAACGCCGCGUGAAGGAUGAAGUAUUUCGGUAUGUAAACUUCGAAAGAAUAGGAAGAAUAAAUGACGGUACUAUUUAUAAGGUCCGGCUAACUACGUGCCAGCAGCCGCGGUAAUACGUAGGGACCAAGCGUUGUUCGGAUUUACUGGGCGUAAAGGGCGCGUAGGCGGCUUGACAAGUCACUUGUGAAAUCUCUGGGCUUAACCCAGAACGGCCAAGUGAAACUGUCAUGCUAGAGUGCAGAAGGGGCAAUCGGAAUUCUUGGUGUAGCGGUGAAAUGCGUAGAUAUCAAGAGGAACACCUGAGGUGAAGACGGGUUGCUGGGCUGACACUGACGCUGAGGCGCGAAAGCCAGGGGAGCAAACGGGAUUAGAUACCCAAGUAGUCCCUGAGCGGGCUGGCAAGGCGCAU